AAACUGCCGAAUUUCCUUGCACAGGGAAACGGGGGAACCAGAUUUGCCGGGUGAAUUGAUUCCGCUUCGCUAGCAGGAAUCAUAGGGAACCUUCUACCGAACCCUUCAGCUAACCUCGUAGGCAUUGGAAGGA
RNAcentral lists this small RNA (133 nucleotides) under uncultured Cohnella sp. Its description in RNAcentral is "ydaO/yuaA leader". It matches the Rfam family "c-di-AMP riboswitch aptamer (ydaO/yuaA leader)", at positions 11 to 128 of the family's 134-position model. From Rfam's summary of the family: This family represents a conserved RNA structure found upstream of the ydaO and yuaA genes in Bacillus subtilis and related genes in other bacteria. The ydaO/yuaA element is thought to act as a genetic "off" switch for the ydaO and yuaA genes in its native state. It is believed that the element may be triggered during osmotic shock leading to activation of ydaO, a predicted amino acid transporter gene, and members of the yuaA-yubG operon which code for KtrA and KtrB K+ transporters. The record is from RNAcentral. Lineage: Bacteria; Bacillati; Bacillota; Bacilli; Caryophanales; Paenibacillaceae.